AGAAAGCUGUGUUUAUGGAGGAGCGGGGCGAGCGUGCAGAAUGACUGGAAACAGAAACUGAUCGUCAGUUCAGACAGAGCGAGACUCAACUCCGCCAUAAAACUCAGACACGGGCUGAAACUGCUUCACACACGGGCUCAGCACAGACACCGUCACUGUUAAACUCUAUUGAAAGGGGUUUGGCCCUCUUUAAGACUCUUAUUCAGUCAAACUAUAAACUAAGUCAAUUCCAGUAAUGAUUCACCACAGACAGUAAACUUUAGUCUGAGGCUAAUCCAGACUCACUGCACUGAUCCGUAUCCACACACACUGAGCCUAAAGACCAGAACACUGCCCUUUUCAUUCCCAGUUUUCCCACUGUCAUUUUCACCACCCCUUCUGCCCUGAGUGGCGAACAUCUCACCAUAACCACGAUUCUCUCUGGAAUCAAAAGUAAUUAAUCUAUAGCAGUGAUUCUCAAACUUUUUAGAACAUGUACCACCAAUGAGUUUCCAAGCUAAAAUAUUUACCCACCACAUUAUUUUGAUUGUAGUUUUGGAGGAAUUUGUCUGAUGGUGGCAACAUACAGCUAGCUGAUUUUCUUAACAUAAACCAGGUCAAGAACCACAGUUACAUGGCAUCGCUCAAAGAGCCUGUUAAAGGCAUCCUUAUUUGUAUGGGUACCAUUAAAAGCAAACUGCACAAGUUGUAUUUUCAUGGAAGGUGCACAAAGAGGGAAGAAAAUAAAGAGACUCUCUGCCCCUCCAGUCUCAAGAUUGACAUUUAUCUAACUGAUAAUCAGGAUAUCUGAAAGGAGGAUAAGAGGAUCUGGAUAUUUCUAAACACUGCAUACAAACAACUCAGCACAGGCUCAAAUACAGGAGAGAGGUAAGAGAACC
Astyanax mexicanus (Mexican tetra) is the source of this 878-nucleotide long non-coding RNA. RefSeq lists it as uncharacterized. The transcript is spliced from 4 exons. The record is from RefSeq and is a predicted model, not a curated record. Lineage: Eukaryota; Metazoa; Chordata; Actinopteri; Characiformes; Acestrorhamphidae.